GAAAGAUGGUUCUGCUAUCACUCUUGGAUGGACCUGCGGUGCAUUAGCUAGUUGGUAAGGUAACGGCUUACCAAGGCAAUGAUGCAUAGCCGAGUUGAGAGACUGAUCGGCCACAUUGGGACUGAGACACGGCCCAAACUCCUACGGGAGGCAGCAGUAGGGAAUCUUCCACAAUGGACGAAAGUCUGAUGGAGCAACGCCGCGUGAAUGAAGAAGGGUUUCGGCUCGUAAAGCUCUGUUGGUAGUGAAGAAAGAUAGAGGUAGUAACUGGCCUUUAUUUGACGGUAAUUACUUAGAAAGUCACGGCUAACUACGUGCCAGCAGCCGCGGUAAUACGUAGGUGGCAAGCGUUGUCCGGAUUUAUUGGGCGUAAAGCGAGUGCAGGCGGUUCAAUAAGUCUGAUGUGAAAGCCUUCGGCUCAACCGGAGAAUUGCAUCAGAAACUGUUGAACUUGAGUGCAGAAGAGGAGAGUGGAACUCCAUGUGUAGCGGUGGAAUGCGUAGAUAUAUGGAAGAACACCAGUGGCGAAGGCGGCUCUCUGGUCUGCAACUGACGCUGAGGCUCGAAAGCAUGGGUAGCGAACAGGAUUAGAUACCCUGGUAGUCCAUGCCGUAAACGAUGAGUGCUAAGUGUUGGGAGGUUUCCGCCUCUCA
Molecule: ribosomal RNA, 653 nt
Filed under: uncultured bacterium
Lineage: Bacteria
Description: bacterial SSU rRNA
Rfam family: Bacterial small subunit ribosomal RNA
Source: RNAcentral